Molecule: ribosomal RNA, 711 nt
Filed under: Streptomyces diastaticus subsp. diastaticus
Lineage: Bacteria; Bacillati; Actinomycetota; Actinomycetes; Kitasatosporales; Streptomycetaceae
Description: bacterial SSU rRNA
Rfam family: Bacterial small subunit ribosomal RNA
Source: RNAcentral
UACCAUGCAAGUCGAACGAUGAAGCCCUUCGGGGUGGAUUAGUGGCGAACGGGUGAGUAACACGUGGGCAAUCUGCCCUGCACUCUGGGACAAGCCCUGGAAACGGGGUCUAAUACCGGAUAUGACCGUCCAUCGCAUGGUGGAUGGUGUAAAGCUCCGGCGGUGCAGGAUGAGCCCGCGGCCUAUCAGCUAGUUGGUGAGGUAGUGGCUCACCAAGGCGACGACGGGUAGCCGGCCUGAGAGGGCGACCGGCCACACUGGGACUGAGACACGGCCCAGACUCCUACGGGAGGCAGCAGUGGGGAAUAUUGCACAAUGGGCGAAAGCCUGAUGCAGCGACGCCGCGUGAGGGAUGACGGCCUUCGGGUUGUAAACCUCUUUCAGCAGGGAAGAAGCGAAAGUGACGGUACCUGCAGAAGAAGCGCCGGCUAACUACGUGCCAGCAGCCGCGGUAAUACGUAGGGCGCAAGCGUUGUCCGGAAUUAUUGGGCGUAAAGAGCUCGUAGGCGGCUUGUCACGUCGGUUGUGAAAGCCCGGGGCUUAACCCCGGGUCUGCAGUCGAUACGGGCAGGCUAGAGUUCGGUAGGGGAGAUCGGAAUUCCUGGUGUAGCGGUGAAAUGCGCAGAUAUCAGGAGGAACACCGGUGGCGAAGGCGGAUCUCUGGGCCGAUACUGACGCUGAGGAGCGAAAGCGUGGGGAGCGAACAGGAUU